AUGUUAGCCAGCAAGGUGAUAGGACAGUUAGAACAGAGCUUUACUUCAAUCGGCGUGGUCCAGAUUCGAAAUAUACGGGCGUCGAUUAAAUGUUGGAAACCGUAUGCCUUCCGUCUGGACACGCUCGAUGGGAACGCUAUCUGAUCCAGCUGGCACCAAGGUGGUGCUGGGGUGACGUACUCACACGUGGGGUGAUCUACGAAUUGGAAUGGGUAUUAGCAAAAAUUCUACCCGCAUCGAACAUUCCUUAGUGGAAAGAGGGCCAGUGGGGACUGAUACGUGGGCGAGAUUCCUUUCCCCCCUCCUAUUUUUUAGCAAAAAAAAAAAAGGAAUGUUUAGAACAUAAGAACUCUAGAUCUAAACUGUAAUCUUGUAUGUUAGCUUCCAAACUCUGCUAAUGCUUGAGAUUUUUUUUGGUAAUCCAAGCCUCUGUAGGGCCUCCUCAGCCUACCCUGGGCAUUAUUUCAUGGCAUGCACAUUGCCAAUUGCAUCUUCCACAUCUCAAGCAGAUCAUUGUUCGAGGAUUAACAUUGAGGUCGUCUCGAAGAAUAGU
This 553-nucleotide long non-coding RNA is filed under the name Phoenix dactylifera (date palm). RNAcentral's name for it is "long non-coding RNA (PDAC_LNC021873)". Lineage: Eukaryota; Viridiplantae; Streptophyta; Magnoliopsida; Arecales; Arecaceae. The record is from RNAcentral.